Molecule: ribosomal RNA, 400 nt
Filed under: uncultured bacterium
Lineage: Bacteria
Description: bacterial SSU rRNA
Rfam family: Bacterial small subunit ribosomal RNA
Source: RNAcentral
AUUGAACACUGGCGGCAUGCUUUACACAUGCAAGUCGAACGGCAGCGCGGGGGCAACCCUGGCGGCGAGUGGCGAACGGGUGAGUAAUGCAUCGGAACGUAUCCUGUAAUGGGGGAUAACGUAGCGAAAGUUACGCUAAUACCGCAUACGCUCGAGAGAGGAAAGUGGGGGAUCGCAAGACCUCACGUUAUAGGAGCGGCCGAUGUCCGAUUGGCUAGUUGGUGGGGUAAAGGCCUACCAAGGCGACGAUCGGUAGCUGGUCUGAGAGGAUGAUCAGCCACACUGGGACUGAGACACGGCCCAGACUCCUACGGGAGGCAGCAGUGGGGAAUUUUGGACAAUGGGCGAAAGCCUGAUCCAGCCAUGCCGCGUGCGGGAAGAAGGGCCCUUCGGGUUGUAA